AAGGUACUAGUAAAACUUUAUUACCUUGCCUUGUCAAGGCAAAAAUGUAGGUUAAAAUCCUGCGUACCUUA
Molecule: transfer RNA, 71 nt
Filed under: Lophiosilurus alexandri (Pac-Man catfish)
Lineage: Eukaryota; Metazoa; Chordata; Actinopteri; Siluriformes; Pseudopimelodidae
Description: tRNA-Asp
Rfam family: tRNA
About the family: Transfer RNA (tRNA) molecules are approximately 80 nucleotides in length. Their secondary structure includes four short double-helical elements and three loops (D, anti-codon, and T loops).
Source: RNAcentral